GGAGACCACUACAUCCACAUCAAGAUACGAGUUCCAAAGAGGCUAACGAGCCGGCAGCAGAGCCUGAUCCUGAGCUACGCCGAGGACGAGACAGAUGUGGAGGGGACGGUGAACGGCGUCACCCUCACCAGCUCUGGAAAAAGAUCCACUGGAAACUAGGCCGGGAAGCAGCAGCCCCUCCAAGGGCCAGGGCACCUGGGAGACGGGAGGAUUCCAGAACAGCAGCACUGAGCUCCCACCCGCAGAGCCUCUGGACGGCCUUGGCAACAGCAAAAUCAUGGGACAACACCUCUCUCCACGGAAAGGUCACAGUGGACAGCCCGGGCAGUAGGAUGCAGCCCCAGAGGCUGGUGGCAGUUUCCUGUCCAUUGGUAGGUGACGGCCCCUGGCUCAGGCAGAGGGAGAUGGUUAGACUCUUGCAGGGCUAAAACUCUAAUUUGGAAUUGAAUAUUGUGGAUAUCUUAGUUAAAGGCCAUGCUUACAGCUUAGAAAUGAAGCCUUAAGCUGCAUCAAGUUACGAAGUGAUUAAUUUCCUUCUCAGCAAACCUCCGGGAGGUUCCAGAAUGAGUUCUUCCUGACAGGUUGUCUUCACUGGGAGCGUGGGGCCCCCAGGCCCCACCAGCACCGUCCUCCCCUAAUGAGGGGCCCUGCCGAGGCAUCAGCUGCUCUGCUCAGUUAGUUUUUAUUCCCGGGGUACCAAGCAGCUGCACAGUCGGUGCCUGGGAGGCACGUAGAGGCCCAGAGAGUCCCUGGGGGUUCUGCUCUGACCGUGUGGGUGGUGAUCCUUGUCAGGAUGUACAGUCCUUGCUCCCACCCCAUCCGGGAUGGCCGCCUGUCCCUGACUAUUGAGUCCUGUUGUUGUAAGCCAGGCAUGGAGGGCUCCUGCCCUUCUGCUGAGCCACAGCCCAUUGCAGCACUGUGCUGGCCAGACUUCAGCUGCCUUGGGAACUGAAGCCCUGCCACUGUUGCUAGUCAGGGGCUUGGUUCUCCCACUUACACUGUUGACAUCUAUUUUCUGAAGUGUGUUUAAAUUAUUCAGUGCUAAUCAUUGUUUUUUCCUUUGUAAAUGUUGAUUCAGAAAAGGAAAGCACAGGCUAAGCAGUUGAAGGUUCCCCACCAUUCAGUGAGAGCAGAACCCCCAUUCCCCAGCCUCUGCUGGUAGCAUGUCGCAGUUUCCAUGUGUUUCAGGAUCUUCGGGCUGUCGUUAGACAGGUUAAUGAAGAACACUUCUCAACAGUUUCCUUUUUGUUUUCCUUUAUAAUUCACUAAAAUAAAGCAUCUAUUAGUGUCUGAUUUAGGAAUGUAAAAUGAUUCUGUAUUAAUGUAAAUAAGAUUAUCUAUUGCAAAAAGAUAUUUC
Molecule: long non-coding RNA, 1357 nt
Filed under: Homo sapiens (human)
Lineage: Eukaryota; Metazoa; Chordata; Mammalia; Primates; Hominidae
Description: HSALNT0227111
Source: RNAcentral